This is a long non-coding RNA of Herpailurus yagouaroundi (jaguarundi), 2034 nucleotides long. RefSeq lists it as uncharacterized. The record is from RefSeq and is a predicted model, not a curated record. The transcript has 2 exons. NCBI's taxonomy places the organism in Eukaryota, Metazoa, Chordata, Mammalia, Carnivora, Felidae.
UCACCUCUGGUUGGGGUGGACUGAGGGGUAUCAUGUGACCAAGACUGGACCAGUCCUCAUAUGUCAUACCCCUUGCCACAGUGAUUGGCUCAGUGGUGGCCCUGUGACCCAAGUUUGGUCUUUCCCUUGAGUUUUACCCGCGGGGUCUGGGACAGCAAAAUCCUCUUUCUCUGUGUAUGUUGCUAAUCUGGGUUGAUGAAGCCUGGAGCUGCCUCUGCCAUGCCUUCUGCUGUGUGGACAGAACUCUUUCAUCUUAAGAAAGAAUGAGUCCAACACAUGGAGAGAAGCAGAGAGCUAAGAUAUGGGGUGAGAAGGGAGCAGGGGAAGGAGGCCAAGAGAGAUGCUCUCGUCAUUUGAUUUCCUGGGGAUAGCUGUAGUCUCUCACAGCCAGUGAGUUCUGACUUUUCCUUAAGCCAGAUUGGGUUCAGCUUCUGUUCCUUGAAGUCAAAGAUUCUAAUAAAUGUGUUGGUAUAUUUAAGGUAAUGGCCCCCUUAUAAAUGAGAGUUGUGUUUAUGUCACAACAAAAUCCUGACCGCUAAUCUAAGCUGCUAAUAUGGCACAAGAGUCAUACACUGAAUUCUUACAGAGGGCAAAAUUAUCUGGGGUUAUGGAACCCCUCCCAGUUUUGUACCACUGGGACCUGGCAUAGUACCAUGGGACCUGGCACAUAGAAAGCCUCAAUCUCUACUCAGUAAAGUAGGGUAGUGAGGGAGGAUCUAACUGGUUCAGGUGGUCAGUCAUCCUCUAGUCCAGGGGGUCCCAUCGGCUAGGCAGUGGCUCCCACACAGGCCUCAGUUAGCCCACAGCCUGGGUCUCUAUGGGUCAGGCCAGAUGUGGGUAGGGAUCCACGAUGCAGAAAAUCACUUCUUUUGCGUUAAGAGUUCUUUAAUUUGACUGGGUAUGGCAAGUUCUCUGAGUCUCACAAAGGGGACCAAAUAGCAGCUGGGCACUUAACGUGGCUUGCCCAGACCGUUUGAAUCCUCCCAUUAGAGCCCUCAGUGAAGGAUUUGGAAAGGUACUGGGGGAAUUCCAGAAAAAGACAAACUACUCCUGUCCUGCUGAGGGUCUCCCCUUGAGCUUCUCUUCCAGAGGAGCGCUGUGACCCCAGACAAAGAGAGGAGUUCUGGGAAGCCACGGGAGCCUGCACAACUGCCAAAGAAUGGCUGACUCCAGAGCGACCGACCGAGGCCUGCUGGUUCUUAGACUCUCGUGGAUAGGAGCUGGCACAGAAGGGGAAUUUGACACAUGUUUAUUGAAUGAAUGGUCAGUGAGAAGUAUGAGUUCUGGGGAGGAAAUAUGCUACUUCUACAGGCAUGGAUCAAGCACCACCGAGAUCAUGAGUGAACACCAUGAAGAGUAAACACCAUGCGGAUCUCAUGUUUUCAGGACCCCAAGUGUCCAGUGACUAGAAUGAUACACACAAAGUAACAUGGCAAAGAUUCAGCAGAAGGAGAAACCGGGUACCACUGAGACACCCUCCCUGACCAGAAUCACUGUUGGUCACUGGUCACUGGUCACUUCCUCAGCCCACCUGUGGCUCUAAUUCCCACAGCAUCCUUCCCUUGGGAGGCUUUGGCCUCUGGGAAGAAAUGAAUGUGGCCCUCGAGAGAGCCCUGCAUUCUUGCACAGGUGAGCACCCCAUCCAAUUCAAUGUGAACUCAAGUAGAAAGGAUUGUGACCUUUCCAGAGGCCAGAAUCAUUGUUCUGGAACUGGAAGGGGCCACGGCAGUUCUUUGGCCUGGUUCUAAUCUUCUGUCUGAAGAAAUCAUUGUAGUGGGGUGCGACUAUUCUAAUGCCUGGCCCCAGAAUUCUCUUCUGGAGGAGAACUGUUUUAGACCCUGAGGGCGAAGUUGGCAAGAGACAAAAUGAUGAAGAGAGAACUGGUGUCUUGUGCAUAAAAAUAAAUAGGGACUUAGGGUGAGAGACUCUGAAGGAAAGGAAGUACAGGAGGAGGGGACUUCUCAGGGGGAAAUGAAACUUGAAACUUAUACUUGUGGAAAUUUUAAGAACAAGGAUGUCUAAUUUUUGAUUGCA